UCGAGUGGGUUUAGACCCACGGCGAACGGGUGAGUAAUACCUAGGAAUGUUCCUUAAGUUGAGCAUAAUCUGCCGAAAGGCAGAAUAAUUCUCAAUGUGACCGCAAGGUUAAAGUCGCAAGACGCUUAAGGUGCGGCCUGGGCACCAUCAGCUAGUUGGUAAGGUAAAGGCUUACCAAGGCUAUGACGGUUAGGGGCCCCGAGAGGGGAGACCCCCACACUGGAACUGCGACACGGUCCAG
This 241-nucleotide ribosomal RNA is filed under the name uncultured bacterium. Its description in RNAcentral is "partial 16S ribosomal RNA". It matches the Rfam family "Bacterial small subunit ribosomal RNA", at positions 62 to 334 of the family's 1533-position model. The record is from RNAcentral.